Molecule: ribosomal RNA, 244 nt
Filed under: Pelobates cultripes (western spadefoot toad)
Lineage: Eukaryota; Metazoa; Chordata; Amphibia; Anura; Pelobatidae
Description: SSU_rRNA_microsporidia
Rfam family: Eukaryotic small subunit ribosomal RNA
Source: RNAcentral
UGCGAAGGCACUUUGUUGACUCUAGAGAACCUCGGGCCUAUCGCACGUCCCAGUGACAGUGACUUUGCAUUUGGAUGUCAUCCAUAUCAACUUUCGAUGUCAGUUUCUGCGCCUACCAUGGUGACCACAGGUAACGGGGAAUCAGGGUUGGAUUAUGGAGAGGGAAUCUGAGAAAUGGCUACCACAUGCAAGGAAGGCAGCAGGCGUGCAAAUGACCAACUCCCGACGCAAGAAGGUAGUGACA